ACACCUGUGGGGACAUACAAGCCAAACGAGCCAACGUUCGACUGGCUGAACCUAACCUAACAUAAUAUUCUGACGGUUCUUUUGCUUCCUUUUUUGAACCUCAAAAAUAAAGGAUUACCAUGUCCCCACCCACAUUUUA
This 139-nucleotide non-coding RNA is filed under the name Diprion similis. The record is from RNAcentral. Lineage: Eukaryota; Metazoa; Arthropoda; Insecta; Hymenoptera; Diprionidae.